RNAcentral lists this long non-coding RNA (419 nucleotides) under Brachypodium distachyon (stiff brome). Its description in RNAcentral is "long non-coding RNA (BDIS_LNC000188)". Lineage: Eukaryota; Viridiplantae; Streptophyta; Magnoliopsida; Poales; Poaceae. The record is from RNAcentral.
CAUGGCCUGUGUCACGGCGACAGUUAAUCAGAUUGGAUGAUGGUCUGGAUUACAGCCACACCAUGUCGCAGUGCGCUUCCGGUUCUCGUUGUCUGAGCAUCCGAGACAAACUCCAUCUUACUAUUUGAGGCUGCCAAUAACCACCCUUCUGGGCUGGAUCGAUCUUGAUUUUUUUUUUUUGAAACGAGGCAAAAGAUUUGCUAUAUUGAUCAAGGAGUAAACAUUGUUGACCGAAGUCAAAGAAAAAAGAAAGAAAAAGAGGAAAAAGAGGAGAGGGCUAAGGCAAGAUGCUCGCGAGAUGCUUGGCUCCGGCGAGCGCCCAGGAGUGUCCCUCAUCUUUGAUCAGCUCGAUGAGAACUUGAGAGAGCGUGUGCACGCUACUGAAGACCCUGACAUUUCGCUCCUUCCAAAUUUCCCAU